RNAcentral lists this ribosomal RNA (439 nucleotides) under uncultured fungus. RNAcentral's name for it is "partial 18S ribosomal RNA". It matches the Rfam family "Eukaryotic small subunit ribosomal RNA", at positions 69 to 372 of the family's 1831-position model. Lineage: Eukaryota; Fungi. The record is from RNAcentral.
CNAANUAANCAUANAAACUGGCGNACGGCUCAUUAUAUCAGUUAUAAUCUACUUGAUCGUAUUCUCUUACUUGGAUAACCGUAGUAAUUCUAGAGCUAAUACAUGCAAAAAAUCCCGACUGACGAAGGGAUGUAUUUAUUANGUACAAAAUCAAUGCUCACCUUUGGUUAGAUUAUUGAUGAGUCAUAAAGGCUAAAUUAAGCNCAUGGCCUCCAGUCGGCNCUGAUACAAACCAAUUUCUGCCCUAUCAGCUUUCNAUGGAACUAUAGGGGACUACCAUGGUCGCUGCGGGGGGCGGGNNAUGANAANAUAUUUGUUAUUAUAAACUUCGGAUUUUAAUAGCAAAUAUAAGUCNGACGAUUCAUUCGAAUUUCUGCCCCAUCAACUCUCGAUGGUAGGAUAGAGGCCUACCAUGGUCGCAACGGGUANCGGGGGAAUA